CUUGUUUUCACAUUCAGCUUGCAUACAUCGACUCCCAAUUCCUUUUUUACAAGAUUUCUAUCCCGACUUUUUUGUCUGGUCUCCUCUUAACUAACUGGCCACUGCUCUUUUCGAUCCAAAUACAAAGUGUUUGAGCUAUAGAGAUUCCCCAAGCCCGCAACUGCAAGAAUCAGCAAAGCACCGAUCAUACAUGUAUUAACUUAGCUGCUAAAACACAAGCCAAGAAUGCUGAGCCAGGAAAAGGUGGUGUGAGCCAGGAAAAGGUGGUGUGGUAUGCUAAAACUGCAUUACCAUUGCCAGCAGCGAUGUUGGCUUCCGCCACCACCACAAGCGCGAUGAGGAGGAGGCUGACUGCCAAUGUCGAGGGUGAGGACCUCGACGACGAAGGUGGGCUACAGGUUGACGAUGUCCUCGGUGCGGAGGCUAGAGCUAGGUGUCGUGUCGUAGUUGUGCAGCGCCUCCACAAGCUCCGCCGGCUUCAACAGCAGGAAGGGAGAAGGAGCUUGCUAUCCCCUCCGUAGCUCCGCCGGCUUCAACAGCAGGAAGGAGACGGAGCUUGCCAUCCCCUCCGUCGUGGGCACCACUGGCGAACAUAAUCAAAUGGGUUUCUGCGCCUUUGCAGGCAGGC
This 628-nucleotide long non-coding RNA is filed under the name Zea mays. Its description in RNAcentral is "long non-coding RNA (ZMAY_LNC003274)". The record is from RNAcentral. Lineage: Eukaryota; Viridiplantae; Streptophyta; Magnoliopsida; Poales; Poaceae.